RNAcentral lists this transfer RNA (76 nucleotides) under Candidatus Melainabacteria bacterium GWF2_32_7. RNAcentral describes it as "tRNA-His". It matches the Rfam family "tRNA". From Rfam's summary of the family: Transfer RNA (tRNA) molecules are approximately 80 nucleotides in length. Their secondary structure includes four short double-helical elements and three loops (D, anti-codon, and T loops). Further hydrogen bonds mediate the characteristic L-shaped molecular structure. tRNAs have two regions of fundamental functional importance: the anti-codon, which is responsible for specific mRNA codon recognition, and the 3' end, to which the tRNAs corresponding amino acid is attached (by aminoacyl-tRNA synthetases). tRNAs cope with the degeneracy of the genetic code in two manners: having more than one tRNA (with a specific anti-codon) for a particular amino acid; and 'wobble' base-pairing, i.e. permitting non-standard base-pairing at the 3rd anti-codon position. The record is from RNAcentral. RNAcentral also lists the same sequence under 2 other names. Lineage: Bacteria; Bacillati; Candidatus Melainabacteria.
GCGGGUGUCGCCAAGUGGUUAAGGCCCCGGAUUGUGGUUCCGGUAUUCGUGGGUUCAAGUCCCAUCAUCCGCCCCA